GUUCGAAUAGAUUUCACGAGUCUCUGUUCCCAUGCCACCAAACAACAAUUGUACAUCCAGGCAUGGGGAAGGAAGGGUGGUCCAUUAUGGAUUAGAUGGGCUGUGUUCUAGAACGUUCUUGCUUUCUGUUUUGUCAUCUUCUUCGGAAGCCAUCCUCAGCUAUAGGGUUGCCCCACUUCACCCCCGCGGUCGCCAUAGCUUCACCCCAGUUUUGAGGCAGAAGCAACAGAGCCCCCCACCCCUGAACAAUAAAGACCCGGCGUUCCUCGCUGGAAACAUUUCCAAACCGGAAUCCCUUUCAAGCGUCUGUGCAAUGAUGAUUCACGUUGGCUGGCACUUUCGCAAGGCAUGGCAAACGCUCAGGCCAUCGGGCAGCAGGAUUCAAAGUCCUCCUCCUCCUCCUCCUCCUCCUUCAAGAGGCCAAGAAAACCAUCCUGGGGAAACCAAAUAGAAAGAUUGUCUGUCCCUCUCCGUGUGCUCCUGCUGCUCGGAGGCCCCGAGCGAGCGGUGGGUGUUUGAGAGAUUUCUAGGUGGGAGCUGGUGUUGAGAGGAAAGAGGUCAAGCUUUCCACCUUCCAGGGAUGGAAAUGUACGGUUCACCGGACAGGAGUUGAAUGUCAGGUUGUCAACAGGGAAAGAUGACACGCCGCUCAGCUGGGAGUGACUGGGUCGCUCCAUGAGCCCAGCCCGGCCAGUCCUUAUAGCUUCCCUCUUCAAAGGGGAAAAAACAGGGACUGGAGUCCAACAUACACAUUGGAGAUUGACGCAUCCCUAGGAAAGGAUUUCCUUUGGGCUAGCUGAGUUCUGAAGGAGGCCACAGCGUGCAUGAUGCUCCAGAGCCUGCUGGAGCAGGAGAAGGACUUCCAGACUCAGAACUUGGGAGAUAAGUGGAAGGAAGGUCAAACGGAGGACGGUGUGGAGUCCGAGCAUCAGGCGGGUUGGAGUCACACCAGCAAGAGUGAAGGAGGUUGGGCAAAACCAAGAGGAGAGGGG
RNAcentral lists this long non-coding RNA (992 nucleotides) under Pogona vitticeps (central bearded dragon). Its description in RNAcentral is "lncRNA (ENSPVIG00000009692.1)". The record is from RNAcentral. Lineage: Eukaryota; Metazoa; Chordata; Lepidosauria; Squamata; Agamidae.